This 691-nucleotide ribosomal RNA is filed under the name uncultured bacterium. RNAcentral describes it as "bacterial SSU rRNA". It matches the Rfam family "Bacterial small subunit ribosomal RNA", at positions 382 to 1063 of the family's 1533-position model. The record is from RNAcentral.
GCUGACGACAGCCAUGCCGCGUGUGUGAAGAAGGUCUUCGGAUUGUAAAGCACUUUAAGUUGGGAGGAAGGGCAGUAAAUUAAUACUUUGCUGUUUUGACGUUACCGACAGAAUAAGCACCGGCUAACUCUGUGCCAGCAGCCGCGGUAAUACAGAGGGUGCAAGCGUUAAUCGGAAUUACUGGGCGUAAAGCGCGCGUAGGUGGUUUGUUAAGUUGGAUGUGAAAUCCCCGGGCUCAACCUGGGAACUGCAUUCAAAACUGACUGACUAGAGUAUGGUAGAGGGUGGUGGAAUUCCAUGUGUAGCAGUGAAAUGCGUAGAGAUAUGGAAGAACACCGAUGGCGAAGGCAGCCCCCUGGGUUAACACUGACGCUCAGGCACGAAAGCGUGGGGAGCAAACAGGAUUAGAUACCCUGGUAGUCCACGCCCUAAACGAUGUCAACUAGUUGUCGGGCCUGAAUAGGCUUGGUAACGUAGCUAACGCGUGAAGUUGACCGCCUGGGGAGUACGGUCGCAAGAUUAAAACUCAAAGGAAUUGACGGGGACCCGCACAAGCGGUGGAUUAUGUGGAUUAAUUCGAUGCAACGCGAAAAACCUUACCUACCCUUGACAUGUACCGAAGCUUGCUGAGAGGUGAGUGUGCCCGAAAGGGAACGGUAACACAGGUGCUGCAUGGCUGUCGUCAGCUCGU